RNAcentral lists this long non-coding RNA (601 nucleotides) under Ananas comosus (pineapple). Its description in RNAcentral is "long non-coding RNA (ACOM_LNC010922)". Lineage: Eukaryota; Viridiplantae; Streptophyta; Magnoliopsida; Poales; Bromeliaceae. The record is from RNAcentral.
UAAUUGCAUAUGGCUUUCUAUAAAAAUAUUAAAUAGCAAAUAUAUUCCUACAAAAAACUUAAAGUUAUCAAAAAUUUUUUCCCUCCAAAAGUCCUCCCGUCUACAAAUAUAUUAUUCUGUUAUCAAAAUUUAGGUAAUUGUGAGUUAAAACAGCGGACUAUCUGUUACCAAAAUUUAGAUAACCGUGAGUUAACAAUGCUGACCAUAGUUAAGAGAUAAAAUAAUAUUUUCACCUUAUGUGUAUAUAAUUUAUAUUCUAAUAUUGAGUCUCAUCAUCUUUCUCCCUCUCUCCACUUUAUCCAAAACGAUAACAAGACCUAUGGCGGCAGCGAUGUUGAAGGCGAGACCCUCAACCACGAUAAAAAUGAGGUACGCUGCAUGUGCCCUGGCGAAAGUGAGGAAAGAGAAAGAAGGAUAACUUUUUGCAUGCGUAAAUUUAUAAGGACAAAAUAGUUAUUUUACGCAUCGACUUUUAAAAAGCUCAAACUGUAAGUACACAUGUAUGAAGGAAUCAAAACUUUUAGAGGGAUCGAUAUAUAAUCUGAUCAUUUAAGUUUUGUAGAAAUUUACCUAUUAUUUAAUACUUUACGGAAACAUGUAU